This is a long non-coding RNA of Cyprinus carpio (common carp), 549 nucleotides long. RefSeq lists it as uncharacterized. The transcript has 2 exons. The record is from RefSeq and is a predicted model, not a curated record. NCBI's taxonomy places the organism in Eukaryota, Metazoa, Chordata, Actinopteri, Cypriniformes, Cyprinidae.
UUAAAAACUAACUAAGGGUGUACUCACACUAGGCAUUUUGAACCAUGCCCAAGCACGUUUGACCCCCCAAAGCCCGAUUCAUUUGACUAGUGUAAGCGCUCCGGUUCGUUUAGCGUGGUUCGGUUGUGAGUGCUAACCGCACCGGAGCACGGAACGGAUACUAUUUUGUGUGCGCUACCGUCAUCACUACGACCGCACACAUAUUCUAUUACUACUGCUACACUACACUUUUCAGUUAAUUUAAUUCAAUCAAGUAUAUUUAGGUUUAUAAUGGCUCUGGUUCUUACCUUAUUGAUGAACAGGAAAUGUAGUUUGCGAGUAAGCGUGCUCCGGCCCGUGUGAGUGCAGGCCAGUGGGGGGAGUGGGGAGGAGGCGAUAAUCGUGCUCGGGCUCGGUUCAAGGCAAGUGUGUCUAGUGUGAGUACACCCUAACUAACGCUAACACAUAAAUCACUAUAUUUACUGACUUGUUGUUUAUAUUGUAACAUGUAGUUGCAGAUGCACAUGAGGUUUGUCAGUAGUAUUUUAUUAAAAUAAAUGUUAAUCAUAC